CGUUCUGUAAGCCUGCGAAGGUGGCCUGUGAGGGUUGCUGGAGGUAUCAGAAGUGCGAAUGCUGACAUAAGUAACGAUAAAGCGGGUGAAAAGCCCGCUCGCCGGAAGACCAAGGGUUCCUGUCCAACGUUAAUCGGGGCAGGGUGAGUCGACCCCUAAGGCGAGGCCGAAAGGCGUAGUCGAUGGGAAACGGGUUAAUAUUCCCGUACUUGGUGUUACUGCGAAGGGGGGACGGAGAAGGCUAUGUUGGCCGGGCGACGGUUGUCCCGGUUUAAGCGUGUAGGUGUGUGUUCCAGGUAAAUCCGGUUCACUUUAACACUGAGGCGUGACGACGAGGCACUACGGUGCUGAAGCAACAAAUGCCCUGCUUCCAGGAAAAGCCUCUAAGCAUCAGGUAACAUCAAAUCGUACCCCAAACCGACACAGGUGGUCAGGUAGAGAAUACCAAGGCGCUUGAGAGAACUCGGGUGAAGGAACUAGGCAAAAUGGUGCCGUAACUUCGGGAGAAGGCACGCUGACACGUAGGUGAAGUGAUUUACUCAUGGAGCUGAAGUCAGUCGAAGAUACCAGCUGGCUGCAACUGUUUAUUAAAAACACAGCACUGUGCAAACACGAAAGUGGACGUAUACGGUGUGACGCCUGCCCGGUGCCGGAAGGUUAAUUGAUGGGGUCAGCGCAAGCGAAGCUCCUGAUCGAAGCCCCGGUAAACGGCGGCCGUAACUAUAACGGUCCUAAGGUAGCGAAAUUCCUUGUCGGGUAAGUUCCGACCUGCACGAAUGGCGUAAUGAUGGCCAGGCUGUCUCCACCCGAGACUCAGUGAAAUUGAACUCGCUGUGAAGAUGCAGUGUACCCGCGGCAAGACGGAAAGACCCCGUGAACCUUUACUAUAGCUUGACACUGAACAUUGAGCCUUGAUGUGUAGGAUAGGUGGGAGGCUUUGAAGUGUGGACGCCAGUCUGCAUGGAGCCGACCUUGAAAUACCACCCUUUAAUGUUUGAUGUUCUAACGUGGACCCGUUACCCGGGUUGCGGACAGUGUCUGGUGGGUAGUUUGACUGGGGCGGUCUCCUCCUAAAGAGUAACGGAGGAGCACGAAGGUUGGCUAAUCCUGGUCGGACAUCAGGAGGUUAGUGCAAUGGCAUAAGCCAGCUUGACUGCGAGCGUGACGGCGCGAGCAGGUGCGAAAGCAGGUCAUAGUGAUCCGGUGGUUCUGAAUGGAAGGGCCAUCGCUCAACGGAUAAAAGGUACUCCGGGGAUAACAGGCUGAUACCGCCCAAGAGUUCAUAUCGACGGCGGUGUUUGGCACCUCGAUGUCGGCUCAUCACAUCCUGGGGCUGAAGUAGGUCCCAAGGGUAUGGCUGUUCGCCAUUUAAAGUGGUACGCGAGCUGGGUUUAGAACGUCGUGAGACAGUUCGGUCCCUAUCUGCCGUGGGCGCUGGAGAACUGAGGGGGGCUGCUCCUAGUACGAGAGGACCGGAGUGGACGCAUCACUGGUGUUCGGGUUGUCAUGCCAAUGGCACUGCCCGGUAGCUAAAUGCGGAAGAGAUAAGUGCUGAAAGCAUCUAAGCACGAAACUUGCCCCGAG
Molecule: ribosomal RNA, 1584 nt
Filed under: Salmonella enterica subsp. enterica serovar Enteritidis
Lineage: Bacteria; Pseudomonadati; Pseudomonadota; Gammaproteobacteria; Enterobacterales; Enterobacteriaceae
Description: partial 23S ribosomal RNA
Rfam family: Bacterial large subunit ribosomal RNA
Source: RNAcentral